RNAcentral lists this transfer RNA (132 nucleotides) under Nanobdellati archaeon. RNAcentral's name for it is "tRNA-Val". Lineage: Archaea; Nanobdellati. The record is from RNAcentral.
GCCCGGAUACCUUAGCCGGGUAGAGGACUCGUUUUACAAACGAGCGCGGCAUUGCCGCAACGAGGGUUCAAAUCUGCAACGAACGCAGUUCGUUGAGCUUUCCGCAUAGCGGAAAUCCCUCUCCGGGCGCCA